This 238-nucleotide non-coding RNA is filed under the name Clostridium sp. RNAcentral's name for it is "T-box sequence". It matches the Rfam family "T-box leader". From Rfam's summary of the family: Uncharged tRNA acts as the effector for transcription antitermination of genes in the T-box leader family. T-boxes are found upstream of many aminoacyl-tRNA synthetase genes and some amino acid biosynthetic genes usually in Gram-positive bacteria. The anticodon of a specific tRNA base pairs to a specifier sequence within the T-box motif, and the NCCA acceptor tail of the tRNA base pairs to a conserved bulge in the T-box antiterminator hairpin. The record is from RNAcentral. Lineage: Bacteria; Bacillati; Bacillota; Clostridia; Eubacteriales; Clostridiaceae.
UUAAAUGCAUUGAAAAAGGAAAGUAAUAUAAAUAUAGGUUACAGAGAGGAAACGGUGGUGUGAAGUUUCUACUGAGGAUUUAUAUGAAGUGCCCUUUGGAGCAGAAGUCUGAAGAUUUAGUAAGGCUAUCCAGGUUCGCCUGUUACAGCGAUAAGGUAUUUUUGUACCUGAAUGAGGUGGGAUAUUUUAUAUCUAAUUAGGGUGGAACCGCGAAUGCAUACAUAGCUUCGUCUCUAUA